This 95-nucleotide small nucleolar RNA is filed under the name Triticum aestivum (bread wheat). RNAcentral's name for it is "Small nucleolar RNA Z157/R69/R10". It matches the Rfam family "Small nucleolar RNA Z157/R69/R10". Rfam says of the family: Z157, R69 and R10 are members of the C/D class of snoRNA which contain the C (UGAUGA) and D (CUGA) box motifs. Most of the members of the box C/D family function in directing site-specific 2'-O-methylation of substrate RNAs. The record is from Rfam by way of RNAcentral. RNAcentral also lists the same sequence under 1 other name. Lineage: Eukaryota; Viridiplantae; Streptophyta; Magnoliopsida; Poales; Poaceae.
GUCGUAGCGGUGAUGACAAAUUUGUGGACUAGAGUUUCUGAUGCUGCCUCUUCAGCAGCAUCUGCCGACAACCCCUUGGCUGUCUGAGCUCCCAU